GACGAACGCUGGCGGCGUGCUUAACACAUGCAAGUCGAACGGAAAGUUCCUGCUUUGGGGGGGUGCUCGAGUGGCGAACGGGUGAGUAACACGUGAGUAACCUGCCCUUGACUGUGGGAUAACUUCAUGAAACUGGUGCUAAUACCGGAUAGGAGCUCCUGCUGCUUGGUGGGGGUUCGAAAGUUUCGGCGGUUGGGGAUGGACUCGCGGCUCAUCAGCUUGAUGGUGGGGUGGUGUCUUACCAAGGCUUUGAACGGUAGGCGGCCUGAGAGGGUGACCGGCCACAUUGGGACUGGGAUGCGGCCCAGACUCCUACGGGAGGCAGCAGUGGAGAAUAUUGCACAAUGGGAGGAGGCCUGAUGCAGCAACGCCGCGUGCGGGAUAACGGCAUGCGGGUAGUAAACCGCUUUCGCCUGUGACGAAGCGUGAGUGACGGUAAUGGGUAAAGAAGCACCGGCUAACUACGUG
RNAcentral lists this ribosomal RNA (468 nucleotides) under uncultured bacterium. RNAcentral describes it as "partial 16S ribosomal RNA". It matches the Rfam family "Bacterial small subunit ribosomal RNA", at positions 28 to 507 of the family's 1533-position model. The record is from RNAcentral.